GUGUUUGCUUUGGCAGCACAUAUGCUAAAAUUAGAAAACACAGAGAAGAUUAGCAUGGCCCUUGUGCACGGAUGGCGUGCAAAUUCAUGAAAAAAGAAGUGAUGUC
Molecule: small nuclear RNA, 106 nt
Organism: Chionomys nivalis (European snow vole)
Lineage: Eukaryota; Metazoa; Chordata; Mammalia; Rodentia; Cricetidae
Source: RefSeq, a predicted model, not a curated record